Molecule: ribosomal RNA, 577 nt
Filed under: uncultured Verrucomicrobiota bacterium
Lineage: Bacteria; Pseudomonadati; Verrucomicrobiota
Description: bacterial SSU rRNA
Rfam family: Bacterial small subunit ribosomal RNA
Source: RNAcentral
CCCGAGUGUAGCAAUACAAGCGGGGCGAGAGUGGCGAAAGGGUGCGUAACGCGUGGGCAACCUGCCUUCCAGUUGGGGAUAACCCCGCGAAAGCGGGGCUAAUACCGAAUGUGACGGUGGUGCUUCGGCAUCAUUGGUUAAAGACGGGGAUUCUUCGGAACCUGUCGCUGGUUGAGGGGCCCGCGUCCUAUCAGCUUGUUGGCGAGGUAACGGCUCACCAAGGCUUACGGGUAGCUGGUCUGAGAGGAUGGUCAGCCACACUGGGACUGAGACACUGCCCAGACUCCUACGGGAGGCUGCAGUCGAGGAUCAUUCGCAAUGGGCGCAAGCCUGACGAUGCGACGCUGCGUGGAGGAUGACGGCCUUCGGGUUGUAAACUCCUGUCGUUUGGGAACAAGGAACCGUCGUUAACACCGGCGGAACCUGCUAGUACCGAAAGAGGAAGCCACGGCUAACUCUGUGCCAGCAGCCGCGGUAAUACAGAGGUGGCGAGCGUUGUUCGGAUUUACUGGGCGUAAAGGGUGCGUAGGUGGUUUCGUAUGUCGGGCGUGAAAUCCCACUGCUCAACGGUGGAACG